RNAcentral lists this non-coding RNA (23 nucleotides) under Cricetulus griseus (Chinese hamster). Lineage: Eukaryota; Metazoa; Chordata; Mammalia; Rodentia; Cricetidae. The record is from RNAcentral.
AAGGCGGACGGCAGUAGCAGGCC